RNAcentral lists this ribosomal RNA (407 nucleotides) under uncultured bacterium. RNAcentral's name for it is "partial 16S ribosomal RNA". It matches the Rfam family "Bacterial small subunit ribosomal RNA", at positions 30 to 526 of the family's 1533-position model. The record is from RNAcentral.
AUUGAACGCUGGCGGCAGGCCUAACACAUGCAAGUCGAGCGGAGCGGCGGACGGGUGAGUAAUGCCUAGGAAUCUGCAUGGUAGUGGGGGAUAACGUCCGGAAACGGGCGCUAAUACCGCAUAAUAUCAGAUGAGCCUAGGUCGGAUUAGCAUGUUGGUGGGGUAAAGGCCUACCAAGGCGACGAUCCGUAACUGGUCUGAGAGGAUGAUCAGUCACACUGGAACUGAGAAACGGUCCAGAGUCCUACGGGAUGAGGCAGUGGGGAAUAUUGGACAAUGGGCGAAAGCCUGAUCAAGCCAUGCCGCGUGUGUGAAGAAGGUCUUCGGGUUGUAAAGCACUUUAAGUUGGGAGGCGUUACCAACAGAAUAAGCACCGGCUAACUUCGUGCCAGCCGCCGCGGUAAUAC